CAGCCGCCACGGGAAUACAGAGGGUGCGAGCGUUAAUCGGAUUUACUGGGCGUAAAGCGUGCGUAGGCGGCUUCUUAAGUCGGAUGUGAAAUCCCUGAGCUUAACUUAGGAAUUGCAUUCGAUACUGGGAAGCUAGAGUAUGGGAGAGGAUGGUAGAAUUCCAGGUGUAGCGGUGAAAUGCGUAGAGAUCUGGAGGAAUACCGAUGGCGAAGGCAGCCAUCUGGCCUAAUACCGACGCUGAGGUACGAAAGCAUGGGGAGCAAACAGGAUUAGAUACCCCGGUAGUCCCUGUCUCUUAUAC
Molecule: ribosomal RNA, 301 nt
Filed under: uncultured bacterium
Lineage: Bacteria
Description: partial 16S ribosomal RNA
Rfam family: Bacterial small subunit ribosomal RNA
Source: RNAcentral